GGGAGAUCAAAAGAUUGGAAUGAAAUUAAAGUGAUUAACUGCUGGGCUGAAAUCAUCUCACGUAAUUCUUACUUUCUAUUGUUUCUCAAAGUAAUCUUUGCCCUUCAUAGAUGAUAUUUUUCUUCCCAUAUUCUAUUCUUGGUUAUCACUGCCUUAUUUCUUACAUACUUAUUUCUUCCUUCACCUUGACAAUUUCCCUAAAUGUUUCUUCUCCCCUCUAUUUCUUCAUUGCUUUAAAAUUUAUUACAGGGGAUAAAGUGUUUAAGGCAGAGAUGACUUUGAUUCUCUUCUAUUUAGGGUACAGUAGCCAGUAUGCCGAUUUGUAACCCUUCAAUGCCUAUUGAUCCAUUUUUGGAAUGCCUCUGAUAGUGGGACAUGGUGAAAUAUGUUCUCUUCAAAUUCUUGAAUUCCUUGAAUUUUUCUAGGUAACAUAUAACUUCAUGCAAAUACUCAGAAAAAUUCCAAUCCUCGGAAUAAAUGAGUUAAACUUAAGUAGAAGAAAUAAUAACGAAAACUACUAUUUUAAUAAACAUUCUACUCUAUUCACUUACUUAUUCAUAUUAAUAUUUUGUUACAAUUUCUGUUACAGAUGGGGACAGUCUCGCUCACAGACAGUCGGUAUCACCAAAUCUAUACAACUAGAGAGCCAAUUUGUUUCCCAGAAUGGAAGGAACUGCUUAUCUCAGGGAGAGGAACUUUGCCCUGUGGUGCUGUUCUGGUCAGAUAAGCAGACAGCUGCUGAUUGGAUGGGACAAACUUGGCUGUCUUCUUUCCUGGACUAAAAUGAGCAGCAGGAACAGAGCCACUUGAUGAUGGAUCAGGGAGCCACAGCCAAAGCUGAUGGUAGGGAUGUUUGGGGGUGGAAUAAACAUUUCAAUGACUCUAAACCUAAAUAUGUUUUGCUUGAAUUGGCUAUUUUGUUACAGGUUUCUCUCGUUGGC
RNAcentral lists this long non-coding RNA (941 nucleotides) under Fukomys damarensis (Damara mole-rat). RNAcentral's name for it is "lncRNA (ENSFDAG00000025540.1)". The record is from RNAcentral. Lineage: Eukaryota; Metazoa; Chordata; Mammalia; Rodentia; Bathyergidae.